This 429-nucleotide long non-coding RNA is filed under the name Ananas comosus (pineapple). RNAcentral's name for it is "long non-coding RNA (ACOM_LNC041949)". Lineage: Eukaryota; Viridiplantae; Streptophyta; Magnoliopsida; Poales; Bromeliaceae. The record is from RNAcentral.
CAUGAACGUUCGCCCCCCCUCCCAAAAAAAAAGUAAAAAAGAUUUAAUUUUUUAUGAACUAUCUUAAUUUCUUAUUUGCUUAAUUAUUUAUCUAUUUUAAGGCAUAAUAUAGUUUGCUAUUUUUUUUUACUUAAUUAGUUUAAUUUUGUAGCUCUUUAUUCUAAUAUUCUUAAGAAAUAUGAAUAUUUAUGCUAACAGCAUAAAUCUUGAGAGAAAAUAAAUUUAAUUUAAUAGCCGAAUUUUUGAUCCCGAAUUUUUAAUUGGUGAACGUCUAAUAUCCGUAUAAAUCACGUAUCCGAAUAAUUGACAUAUCCGUUUUUUAGCCAUAUUUUUCAACGAAUUUAAAAAUUAGAAAACGAAUUUUAUCCAAAUUAUAUCCGUACCGAAUUUUUGCCGAAUCCAAAUUAACAAACUAUGGUGUUGAUAGAU